This 1100-nucleotide long non-coding RNA is filed under the name Medicago truncatula (barrel medic). Its description in RNAcentral is "long non-coding RNA (MTRU_LNC007577)". The record is from RNAcentral. Lineage: Eukaryota; Viridiplantae; Streptophyta; Magnoliopsida; Fabales; Fabaceae.
CCAUAUCGUCCAUAUUACAUUCCAAGAACAUAUCAAAAGUACCAUACUCUUCUAGUUUCCACUUUUUUUAUAUAGUCUCAGCCAAAUUCAAGCUGUUAUCGCAGCACAUACACAUUGUUCAACUCAAUCUCACCCUCACAAUUUUAACUCUUUCUCAUUUCAAAACUCUCAAAGCCUUAAGUAUACAUCUGCAUCUGAGCAAACUCCCACUCGACCACAUCUUGCUCUUCUCAGCCUUCCACAACCUUUUUUGAUUCCACCAGAUAUUUCCAUUCAAGACACUAUAAUAAAAUCUAAUGACUGGUACAUACCAAAUAUACCGUAAAAAUAAAAAAUAUGGGAAGAUAAACUAAUUUACUCAAUAAAUAAGAAGUUCGUGCUAGUUUUAAAUCUGCCAACAAAAACGGAAAUUGUGUCAGUGUGAUUAAGUUCCCAGGUACCCUUAAAUCUCCAUAAAAAAAAACUCACAGAUAGUUUGUAUGUGUUGUUGGACUGCAAAUAUAACAACUUCAAUUGACAUGUAACUCCACUUUUUUUUUUUUUUUUCCUAAUAUCACACGAAUGAAACACCCAACUACAUCAAAAAAAGUAGAUGAUUAACACAGGUGACAGGAAUCCAUGUCCAUAACUGACAAUAAGUAUAGUGAGGAUGAGUCAAAUGUUAACCCAAAAAUGAUCUGUCUAAAUGAUCAAAUUCCUUAUAUAUGUUUUCUUCAUUCUUCUGUAAAAGUAUAUUCAAGAUUAUAAAUAGAACACACGUACCUGAAAUGAUUUCCAGCCUUUCAGAAAGCUCCAAUUCUUUGGCCAACAAUGACUUCAAAGAAUAUAUCAACAAUUGUAGCUCUAUAGAAGACUCAGAUGGUACAAACACAAAAGGUUGAAUCCUUACAUUUUCCCUUCAUGUGAAAACAAUCGAAGAAAAUGCAAUAAAAAACACAAAUGCUCUUCCGUCUAAAUGGGUCGACUACAUGAACCAUUUGAAACUCAGGAGUUAAAUUUAGUUUUUUAUUAGAAACACAGAGAAUGACCAAUGAAGGAAAAAAUUGAUACAACUAUAUGAAGAAAACUGCACAUUGGAAAUAAAAUAUAAUUACGUCAAA